RNAcentral lists this ribosomal RNA (1469 nucleotides) under uncultured Bordetella sp. Its description in RNAcentral is "partial 16S-23S ribosomal RNA intergenic spacer". It matches the Rfam family "Bacterial small subunit ribosomal RNA". Lineage: Bacteria; Pseudomonadati; Pseudomonadota; Betaproteobacteria; Burkholderiales; Alcaligenaceae. The record is from RNAcentral.
GGUUCGAUUAUGGCUCAGAUUGAACGCUGGCGGGAUGCUUUACACAUGCAAGUCGAACGGCAGCACGGACUUGGUCUGGUGGCGAGUGGCGAACGGGUGAGUAAUGUAUCGGAACGUGCCUAGUAGCGGGGGAUAACUACGCGAAAGCGUAGCUAAUACCGCAUACGCCCUUCGGGGGAAAGCGGGGACCUUCGGGCCUCGCACUAUUAGAGCGGCUGAUAUCGGAUUAGCUAGUUGGUGGGGCAACGGCUCACCAAGGCGACGAUCCGUAGCUGGUUUGGAGAGGACAAAAUCCAGCCACACUGGGACUGGAGACAGGGCCCAGACUCCUACGGAGGCAGGUGGGGAAUUUUGGACAAUGGGGGAAACCCUGAUCCAGCCAUCCCGCGUGUGCGAUGAAGGCCUUCGGGUUGUAAAGCACUUUUGGCAAGAAAAGAAACGGCACGGGAUUACCCCGUGCAACUGAUUUGGUACCUGCAGAAUAAGCACCGGCUAACUACUGCGCCAGCAGCCGCGGUAAUACGUAGGGUGCGUUAAUCGGAAUUACUGGGCGUAGCGUGCGCAGGCGGUUCGGAAAGAAAGAUGCGAAAUCCCAGAGAACUUUGGAACUGCAUUUUUUAACUACCGAGCUAGAGUGUGUCAGAGGGGGAGGUGGAAUUCCGCGUGUAGCAGUGAAAUGCGUAGAUAUGCGGAGGAACACCGAUGGCGAAGGCAGCCUCCUGGGAUAACACUGGACGCUCAUGCACGAAAGCGUGGGGAGCAAACAGGAUUAGAUACCCCGGUAGUCCACGCCCUAAACGAUGUCAACUAGCUGUUGGGGCCUUCGGGCCCCGGUAGCGCAGCUAACGCGUGAAGUUGACCGCCUGGGGAGUACGGUCGUGAUUAAAACUCAAAGGAAUUGACGGGGACCCGCAAGAAGCGGUGGAUGAUGUAAUUCGAUGCAACGCGAAAAACCUGGUUUUUACCCUUGACAUGUCUGAAUCCCGAAGAGAUUUGGGAGUGCUCGCAAGAGAACCGAAACACAGGUGCUGCAUGGCUGUCGUCAGCUCGUGUCGAGAUGCUGGGUUAAGUCCUGCAACGAGCGCAACCCUUGUCAUUAGUUGCUACGAAAGGGCACUUUAGAGACUGCCGGUGACAAACUGGAUAGCGUGAUACGUCGAGUCCAGGGUCUUUAUGGGUAGGGCUGUCAUACAAUGGUCGGGACAGAGGGUCGCCAACCCGCGAGGUGUGGUGCCAAUCCCAGAAACCUGAUCAGAACUGGAUCGCAGUCUGCAACUCGACUGCGUGUGAAGUCGGAAUCGCUAGUAAUCGCGGAUCAGCAUGUCGCGGUGAAUACGUUCCCGGGUCUUGUACACACCGCUCCGUCACACCAUGGGAGUGGGUUUUAACAGAAGUAGUUAGCCUAACCGUAAGGAGGGCGAUUACCACAGUAGGAUUCUUAUGACUGGGUGAAGUCGUAACAAGGUAAC